GAUUAAAUCGGUGCUCUAGCGGGUGGAGCAGACCCUGGGCUAGCAGGCCUCAGGGAGAACUCCAAUGGUGUCUGUGUCAGCAUGCCCACACCAGGCCACAACAAUGGCCGCCGCCAAUGUCCCAGUCCCCGGAGAGGUCUCACCCCUCACCGAGAUGCACUCAGGGCCUAUUAGGUGCAUUCACUCUCACAUCCAUGUCUCAUCACAAGAUUGCCCCUUCUGCAUUGAUAGUUCAUCUUUAUCAAAGCUCAUUCAGAGGAGCCAGUUGUCGUCACAGUGGAAGAGUUGGAAGCUUCAGUGGUAGUGUCAAUGGCUGCAUGGUCCAUGUGAAGGUGUUCCUUUCAAGGAGGAUCAUCAUGCAAAUUACCUUACCAAAAAGAAUUAAAGCUUGACCAUAUCAUCAGUAGAGAAAUUCAAGGAAUGCAACAUAUCCCACACCCAAGUUCUUGCAACUCAUGAAAGAAGAUGAUGUUAUUUUGAUGAGUAAUGUGAAUAAAUGAAUAAAAAGACAGUCAGAAACAGGGCUCCAUAAAAGGUUUUAAAAGAUAUGACUAAAGAUGAAGCUUUAAAUAUAGAAGAGAUACAGGGACAGGAAGAAGAAGUAAAGGUUUGUUGCCUUAAAACUCGCAUGCUGGUUCUUCUACCUUCCUAUGCAAAUUCUCUUCUCCAACAAGAUUGGCUCUCCAUGUUGGCUGAUGCAAUUCUUCUCACAGGUUUCCAAGUUACUCUCUUUUUUCAAGGGACCAAUCCAACCCCUUUUCUCUCGGAAGGCUUGCCUAACUCUAUCCCUCUUCUUUCCUCUGGACUCCUGUAUUACAUUACAGAGGGGGGACAAAUCAAAGGAUUCAAGGGAGCCGUAGGGAAGGUGAAAGGUGGUGAGAGAAUGGAGGAGUGGAAGCAAUGGAAAGGGAGAGGUCUUAGAGGAGCCAGUUUGGGGAGAUAGUAAGUUUCCCAAAGAGGCCAUUAGAGUUCCAAAUUAUCCUCAGCAAAAAUAUGCUAACAAGGAGAAGGACAGAGUUGGCAGAGCAUAUAGUCUGCAGGAGUUUGAGAAGGGGAGUUUUAGUUGACUGUGAAGUUCCCAUGGAAGAAGCAGGUUCAGAUAGAGAGAAUAGAGGCCUCACAAGGAGCUAAGAAGCCAGUUGGUUGUAUAACAGUGGAUUUUCUUGGGACAUUUCUUAUUAUAUAUCGACAUUAUAAUUUCUAAGACUAACAUAACUUUUAAAAAGUUAAAUCUUUCAUUUUGAAAUAACUGUAGGUUCACAUGCAGCUGUAAGAAGUAAUACAGAGGGAUCGCACAUGCUCUUUACCCAGUUUCCUGCAGUAGUAACAUCUUACAAAUCUAUAGUGCAAUAUCACAACCGGGAGAUUGGCACUGAUACAAUGAAGAUACAGAGCAUUCCUAUAACCACAAGGAUCCCUCUCGUUGUCCUUUUAUAGUCAUCCCCACUUCCCUGCCGCUCCCACUCCCCCCUUAACCCCUGACAACAUCUAAUCUGUUCUCCAUUUUUAUAAUUUUGUCAUUUUAAGAAUUACAUAGAACCAUACAGUAUGUAACCUUUUGGGUUGGUUUUUUUUCACUCAAGAUAAUUCUCCGGAGAUUCAUCCGGGUUGUUGUGUGUAUCAUUUGUUCAUUCCUUUUUAUUGCUGAGUAGUAUUCCAUGGUAUGGAUAUACCACAGUUUGUUUAACUAUUUACCUGUUGAAGGAUAUCUGGGUUGUCUCUAGCUUUUGACUAUUACAAAUAAAGCUGCUAUA
Molecule: long non-coding RNA, 1754 nt
Organism: Diceros bicornis minor
Lineage: Eukaryota; Metazoa; Chordata; Mammalia; Perissodactyla; Rhinocerotidae
Exons: 3
Source: RefSeq, a predicted model, not a curated record